GAUGAACGCUGGCGGCGUGCCUAAUACAUGCAAGUCGAGCGAACGGACGAGAAGCUUGCUUCUCUGAUGUUAGCGGCGGACGGGUGAGUAACACGUGGAUAACCUACCUAUAAGACUGGGAUAACUUCGGGAAACCGGAGCUAAUACCGGAUAAUAUUUUGAACCGCAUGGUUCAAAAGUGAAAGACGGUCUUGCUGUCACUUAUAGAUGGAUCCGCGCUGCAUUAGCUAGUUGGUAAGGUAACGGCUUACCAAGGCAACGAUGCAUAGCCGACCUGAGAGGGUGAUCGGCCACACUGGAACUGAGACACGGUCCAGACUCCUACGGGAGGCAGCAGUAGGGAAUCUUCCGCAAUGGGCGAAAGUCUGACGGAGCAACGCCGCGUGAGUGAUGAAGGUCUUCGGAUCGUAAAACUCUGUUAUUAGGGAAGAACAUAUGUGUAAGUAACUGUGCACAUCUUGACGGUACCUAAUCAGAAAGCCACGGCUAACUACGU
RNAcentral lists this ribosomal RNA (496 nucleotides) under uncultured bacterium. RNAcentral's name for it is "partial 16S ribosomal RNA". It matches the Rfam family "Bacterial small subunit ribosomal RNA", at positions 28 to 506 of the family's 1533-position model. The record is from RNAcentral.